Aedes albopictus (Asian tiger mosquito) is the source of this 5051-nucleotide long non-coding RNA. RefSeq lists it as uncharacterized. The transcript has 2 exons. The record is from RefSeq and is a predicted model, not a curated record. Lineage: Eukaryota; Metazoa; Arthropoda; Insecta; Diptera; Culicidae.
ACUGAUUCGCAAACUGUCUACAGUUAACGAAAUGAAACCAAAAUUUUUACAGUACAUAAUUUAGUUUAUAUAUGUAUUAUAACUUUUUGGUAUCGGUUCAAAUUUAGGAUGCGGUUAAAGGACAAACGUCUUGAAAUCCCGCUUCAAAAGUGCAUCAGAACUUCAGAUGCACAAUUCUCAAGAAGCAAGCUUCAAACAACAGUGCAUUUUGUUAUUCUGUUCUUGCUUACUUGUAAUAAGCAUCAAAUAAGGCCGCACGGGACUACGUGUAAUUUUUCCUAUCUUCCCUCUCUUUCUAACAAUUUGCCUCACGAUUUUGAAGAUGCAAAUAUCAAAUUCCACUGCACUGACGUAGCUGAAACUUUAGUCGAUUGUGCACCGCAAGUGAGCAAAUGAACGAUCAAAUUUUUAGCCAAUAAUAUGAAGUAGAAGUUGAGAUUUGCAUCUUACUAACAACCGAACAAUGGCGGACAAUUCAACCACCGUCCCGUCCGGCCAUAAGAAGAUCAGGUGCGCUGGUUUUGUUUACGAAGAGAUUAGUGCGCUCGAAAUCGUGAGUAGGUGCCAAAGCCGGCCAUUGUGGCGGCCAUUAUGGGAUUCUAACAAGUCCGUCCUUCUAGUUACUUUCUAAUCACCGCAUGACUUUAUGAUAAUUGAAUUUUAUUGGCUUUUCUCGGUGAACUUAAUACUACUCAAAGAAGGAUGGAGAUGGUAAAGUGGCUCCGUAGCUUGAAGGAAAGAAGCGAAUAGGGAGUCGUGGGUUCCAAUUCCACAGAAGCACGUAGAGCGAUGUAUACCGUCAUGAUCAACGACUGAGAAGGAAGUGUACCCUUUUAACCAUCUGUCCGGAAACCAAGAGUAUCUCUAGGUUAUUUAUUGUCCGCCAAGCUGUUUAAACAUGAGAGGCUGUGUUGGACUAGUCACUGGCACGGUUGUUAGAUAUAGGCAUUUUCAGUUGACAGGUCCGUGUAUGCCACUGUUUACAACUGGAAAACGAGCAAACGCUCAACUGUCAUUUUCAUAGCAGAACUGUCAAAGGCCCCUAAAAUCAGCUGAUUUUAAACGUCUUCUGAUUAGGCCUAUUCAAUGGAUAAUCAUGAAAUUGAAGACGGCUUGAAGUGGCACAUCAAGUUCAUGAGAUACAACAUAUGGGUAAUUCUCGCUGUGACCGGCCCACUAUUUACACCUUGUCUUCAAAAAUGUUGAAGGUGCCGAUUUCCUGAAAGCCCUCGCCUAAAAAGUAAGAAAAAUGCAUUUGGUUACUUAAAUUGAUGGACCCCCCGUUAGUUAGAGCCACAACAAUUUUUGCAGACCCCUCGAUUUUGGUCAAAUGGUGGCUCACUUAAACCGUUAUUACUCGAAAGUUUCUCCAACAACCACCUCAAAACGAAUUGUUGUUGAAAAGAUAAUAAAAAGUUGGGUCGGCCAUAUUGAUUUUGGCCGCCAUCUUGGAUUUUUAUACCAAAACAUUUUUUUCACCAUGAGGGCAACCAACGAUUUUAAAAUUUUUUACAUUAGUUGAAAGCUGGGACAUUUAUACAAAACAUAUCAUAAAAUUAGAGAUCUCUUUUUCUUGUUUCAAAAGUUAUCAAAAGUUAUCUGCCGUUUCGUAAAUUAUGCCACUUUUGCGCACUGGGCCCGGUGCCGACCGUAUACAUAAAUUCAGCGUUAUUUCGCAGUGUUUACAAACACGAAUUAAAAUUCUGAACCCACUAAUGGAAAGCUGAAGGUUUAAGCUUUUCAAAACACUAAAAAAGUUAUAAAAACAAUGCCCGCAUCAUUAAGAAACAGGCAAAAACGGAAACGAACCUCCGAUUUGGCCAAAUUUUGCGGCACGCACCUUUGUGUAUACAUGCAGGCGUAAACUCGGAUGCUGUUGCAUGUCUUUGCCGGUGCGCAUGGAAAUGUAUGGAGAAAACGUGACUUAAUUUACAAAACUGCAGAUAACUUUUGAAAGAAGAAAAAGACAUCUAAUUUUUUGAUAUGUUAUGUAUAAAUGUCCCAGCUUUCAAUUGAUGCAAAAAUUUUGAAAAUCGGUGGUUGCCCUCAUGGUGAAAAAAAUGUUUUGGUAUAAAAAUCCAAGAUGGCGGCCAAAACCAAUAUGGCCGACCCAACUUUUUAUUAUUGUAAAUAGUAGCUCUAACUUUCCUCUUUUCUACAACAAUUCGUUUUGAGGUGGUUGUUGGAGAAACUUUCGAGUUAUAACGGUUUAAGUGAGCCACCAUUUGACCAAAAUCGAGGGGUCUGCAAAAAUUGUUGUGGCUCUAACUAACGGGGGGUCCAUCAAUUUGAGUAACCAAAUGCAUUUUUCUUACUUUUUAGGCGAGGGCUUUCAGGAAAUCGGUACCUUCAACAUUUUUGAAGACAAGGUGUAAAUAGUGGGCCGGUCUCAGCGAGAAUUACCCAUUAGCGUGGGACACAAAAAGACAUUUUACUCCUGUACACUUUUUGAGUUCCAUUUUGGUCCCAUAUCAACUGUGCAAAAUUUCAGAUCAAUCGGAGAAACUAUAUUUUAGCGCCAGCCAUUUUAAGUUUUCAUACGAUUUAGUAUGGGGAAAAUCAAUUUUUCAAAGAAAAAUCGCCACAGGUUGCCCCUUAACCCCUAAAAAUAAGUCGAUGAAUGAUUUCUGUUGGAAAUUUUACAAGGAACCAACCCUCCGAAAACCGCAAAGCGAUCUGAGGCAUGUGAAAAAAGUUAUUGACUGAUAACCGAAUGGCAUGCAAACGCUGUUCAACAUGUAAGGAAUAACAAUAAAUAAUAAAAUCUCGUUUUUUUAUCGAUCAGGUGAGGCCUAAUAAUUUUUUCCACGAACGUCGCAUCGAUUUGCUGUCUUCGGAGGUCUGAUUCCUAGUAAAGUAUUCUACAGAAAUCAUUCGUCGACUUAUUUUUAGGGAUCAAGGGGUGUCUCCUAGCGAUUUUUCUUUGCAGGAGUAAAAUUUCCCCAUAGUAAAUCGUAUGAAAAACUAAGAAUGGCGGGCGCUAAAAUAUAGUUUUUCCAAUCGAUCUGAAAUUUUGCACAGUUGAUAUGGGACCAAAGUGGAACUCAAAAAGUAUACAGAAACUUGAGUUUUUCCAUUUUUUGUAUUUUCUCAUAUAAACCGUGUAGUAGGCUAUUACCCAUAUAUAGAUGUAACGAAUACCGAAGGGCGAGAAAUAUGGGCAUAUCCUUAUCACCCAGAUUCUGAUUUUCUUCAUAGUUCUUUACCUGUUGGUAGCGAUUGCCAUCGUUUCAAAACAAACCAUUUGUAUGCACGCUAAAACCGCUCAGCUCUAAAAUGUGUAAGACCUACUCAUAAGUGCAUAAUUUCCAGACCAAAAUCAGCUCGUACACUCUUUUAGAUGCGAAAUGUCGAUAUUUUUUGUUUGCCAAGGUUACCUAGCUUAUUGCAAAUUUCACGAUUUUGCGGACGCAGGAGCUGAUUUUGUGAAUGUGCAACUGCUACACAUUUGUUGGGUGGUCUGGAAAUUGAGCACUUAUGCGUAGGUUUUAGCGUGUGGCUGCCUGUUACUAGAAAUCGUGGCCACCCCUGUGCCUCCACGGGUGUCACAGGAAUGAUGUGAUGUUUAUGAAAACGAUUACUGAUAGUUCUUUCUCAGUGAAAUGCCCCUGCUUCAAUUUUCUAAUGUUUGUUCACUUUAUUCUGUUUAUUUUGAUUCUUGUGUGUGUUUUCUUCAGUAUAGUUUCCAGCUGUCGGAGGCUGAUGGACUCUUUUGCCAUUUGUUCUGUGUUUUUUUUUUAAUCUGUUGCUUGGCUAAGCAGUUCAAUUUAUUUAGCGUCUAUUGCGAUGUGUGUUGCUGUUGUUGGUAGUACAUACAUUCAUAAACUAUUGUUAUUGUUUGCCUUUCAAAUCCGAUUCCUAAUCCGAGCGCGACCGAGACUCCUCCCGCAUUCGCCAUCCUCACGCCGCCUACACCAUUAUUGGCCAACGAUGCCAAAAAGAAACUCGAAAGGGGUGUUCCGAUCACAAAAGUUGCCUUUACAUUUUCGUUACUUUUUUUUGUUAUUUCGUUUUUAAUUCGUUUGCUCGCGACUCUACAACCAUUUUGUGUAUGUUUUUGUGUAGUUUUUGAUUCGGACAGUUGUUGUUUUCUAUUAUCUUGACAUCUUUCUGCUUAAAAUUGACAUAUCGACAACUAUAUUUUCUCUUAAACUGCGGGUCUUUGCUGGUAGGAUUUGCUCUUUUUUUUUGUUUCCUUUUGAUUUGAUCCCGAGACGGAGAGGUAUGUUUUGCAAUAGUUUUACUUUAAAAAGUGUAUAAUAGUUCGAUUCGCGCAAAUAUUCGUUCAUGACGAUCGUUAAAAACGGUGAGGUGGUGGUUUUUACCCUUUUCCUAGUGUGACUAGACUAAAAUGUUUCGUCACACCCAGUUCGGGGUGGCGUCAGUAAGUCUGUCUGUGGCAGUCUUUCUUUGUUGCAAAAAUUUCGUGGGAUCUCGUGUUGUAUAAUUUGCUCUAAGAAAAUGAUUCCUCUUCCUCGCCUCUAAUUCUCGUUUUUUUUUUUUGUUUUGCUGUGUACGCUACUUGAGGAAGAGGACGGGUGUAAAAUUGCUGCAGCAAUGUGGCGUUCGCAUUUAAAAUGGUCUCUCUAAAAAUAGAGAUCGAUCCAAAGGUGAUGGUGGUGGUCAACUCCGCGUCGGGAUUUCGGCUCAAAAUGUAAGUUUGUGAAUGUUGAGGCACUCCAUGUUUGAAUCAUUUCGAAUCAUUUUGAUUCUGACCAUGGUUAUGCCCCAGCAGUAUGUGAUUUUUUCGUGUAUGCCUCGUCUGGUAUCCUUUUCUACUAUUGAUAAACUUUUAAAAACUACAGUUAUGCUUUUCUUGUGUGAAUUUUUGCUUCGUUUUAUGACAUGUACUAUGAAAUUUUGGAUUAAAUAUGGACUUGCUUUUGAAUUCGUUACGGCUAGAAUUAUGAAAUUUUCUCGUUCUCUACCAUGCAAAAAUUGUGUGCAGCUGCUCCUUCUUCGACCUUAUCUUUCUCAAUCUUCUUCCUUUCUUUGAAAUAGAAUUUACAACAAAGAUAUAAAAGAAAAGAACUUACGCUUAUGUUUACAUU